UAAGCCAUGCAUGUCUAAGUAUAAGCAAUUAUACAGCGAAACUGCGAAUGGCUCAUUAUAUAAGUUAUCGUUUAUUUGAUAGUACCUUACUACUUGGAUAACCGUGGUAAUUCUAGAGCUAAUACAUGCUGAAAAUCCCGACUUCGGAAGGGAUGUAUUUAUUAGAUUAAAAACCAAUGCCCUCUGGGCUCCUUGGUGAUUCAUAAUAACUUUUCGAAUCGCACGGCCUUGCGCCGGCGAUGGUUCAUUCAAAUUUCUUCCCUAUCAACUUUCGAUGUUUGGGUAUUGGCCAAACAUGGUCGCAACGGGUAACGGAGGGUUAGGGCUCGACCCCGGAGAAGGAGCCUGAGAAACGGCUACUACAUCCAAGGAAGGCAGCAGGCGCGCAAAUUACCCAAUCCCGAUUCGGGGAGGUAGUGACAAUAAAUACUGAUACAGGGCUCUUUUGGGUCUUGUAAUUGGAAUGAGUACAAUUUAAAUCUCUUAACGAGGAACAAUUGGAGGGCAAGUCUGGUGCCAGCAGCCGCGGUAAUUCCAGCUCCAAUAGCGUAUAUAAAAGUUGUUGUGGUUAAAAAGCUCGUAGUUGAACCUUGGGCCUGGCUGGCCGGUCCGCCUCACCGCGUGUACUGGUCCGGCCGGGCCUUUCCCUCUGUGGAACCUCAUGCCCUUCACUGGGUGUGGCGGGGAAACAGGACUUUUACUUUGAAAAAAUUAGAGUGCUCCAGGCAGGCCUAUGCUCGAAUACAUUAGCAUGGAAUAAUAAAAUAGGACGUGUGGUUCUAUUUUGUUGGUUUCUAGGACCGCCGUAAUGAUUAAUAGGGACAGUCGGGGGCAUCAGUAUUCAAUUGUCAGAGGUGAAAUUCUUGGAUUUAUUGAAGACUAACUACUGCGAAAGCAUUUGCCAAGGAUGUUUUCAUUAAUCAGGAACGAAAGUUAGGGGAUCGAAGACGAUCAGAUACCGUCGUAGUCUUAACCAUAAACUAUGCCGACUAG
RNAcentral lists this ribosomal RNA (993 nucleotides) under Beauveria pseudobassiana. Its description in RNAcentral is "SSU rRNA". It matches the Rfam family "Eukaryotic small subunit ribosomal RNA", at positions 45 to 1049 of the family's 1831-position model. The record is from RNAcentral. Lineage: Eukaryota; Fungi; Ascomycota; Sordariomycetes; Hypocreales; Cordycipitaceae.